RNAcentral lists this ribosomal RNA (497 nucleotides) under uncultured bacterium. RNAcentral describes it as "partial 16S ribosomal RNA". It matches the Rfam family "Bacterial small subunit ribosomal RNA", at positions 28 to 507 of the family's 1533-position model. The record is from RNAcentral.
GAUGAACGCUGGCGGCGUGCCUAAUACAUGCAAGUCGAGCGAACAGACGAGGAGCUUACUCCUCUGACGUUAGCGGCGGACGGGUGAGUAACACGUGGAUAACCUACCUAUAAGACUGGGAUAACUUCGGGAAACCGGAGCUAAUACCGGAUAACAUGUUGAACCGCAUGGUUCAACAGUGAAAGACGGUCUUGCUGUCACUUAUAGAUGGAUCCGCGUCGCAUUAGCUAGUUGGUAAGGUAACGGCUUACCAAGGCAACGAUGCGUAGCCGACCUGAGAGGGUGAUCGGCCACACUGGAUCUGAGACACGGUCCAGACUCCGACGGGAGGCAGCAGUAGGGAAUCUUCCGCAAUGCGCGAAAGCCUGACGGAGCAACGCCGCGUGAGUGAAGAAGGUCUUCGGAUCGUAAAGCGCUGUUAUUAGGGAAGAACAAAUGUGUAAGUAACUAUGCACGUCUUGACGGUACCUAAUCAGAAAGCCACGGCUAACUACGUG